RNAcentral lists this ribosomal RNA (343 nucleotides) under uncultured bacterium. RNAcentral describes it as "partial 16S ribosomal RNA". It matches the Rfam family "Bacterial small subunit ribosomal RNA", at positions 338 to 699 of the family's 1533-position model. The record is from RNAcentral.
CCUACGGGAGGCAGCAGUGGGGAAUAUUGCACAAUGGGCGAAAGCCUGAUGCAGCAACGCCGCGUGAGCGAUGAAGGCCUUCGGGUCGUAAAGCUCUGUCCUCAAGGAAGAUAAUGACGGUACUUGAGGCGGAAGCCCCGUCUAACUCCGUGCCAGCAGCCGCGGUAAUACGUAGGGGGCUAGCGUUAUCCGGAAUUACGGGGCGUUAAGGGUGCGUAGGUGGUUUCUUAAGUCAGAGGUGAAAGGCUACGGUUAAACCGUAGUAAGCCUUUGAAACUGGGGAACUUGAGUGGAGGAGAGGAGAGUGGAAUGCCUGGUGUAGCGGUGAAAUGCUUAGAUAUUA